Molecule: ribosomal RNA, 434 nt
Filed under: uncultured bacterium
Lineage: Bacteria
Description: bacterial SSU rRNA
Rfam family: Bacterial small subunit ribosomal RNA
Source: RNAcentral
GUGGGGAAUAUUGCACAAUGGGCGCAAGCCUGAUGCAGCGACGCCGCGUGAGGGAUGACGGCCUUCGGGUUGUAAACCUCUUUUGUCGGGGAGCAAGCCCUUCGGGGUGAGUGUACCCUUCGAAUAAGCACCGGCUAACUACGUGCCAGCAGCCGCGGUAAUACGUAGGGUGCAAGCGUUAUCCGGAUUUAUUGGGCGUAAAGGGCUCGUAGGCGGCCUGUCGCGUCCGGUGUGAAAGUCCAUCGCUCAACGGUGGAUCCGCGCCGGGUACGGGCAGGCUCGAGUGCAGUAGGGGAGACUGGAAUUCCCGGUGUAACGGUGGAAUGUGUAGAUAUCGGGAAGAACACCAAUGGCGAAGGCAGGUCUCUGGGCUGUUACUGACGCUGAGGAGCGAAAGCGUGGGGAGCGAACAGGAUUAGAUACCCCUGUAGUCC